This is a non-coding RNA of Manis javanica (Malayan pangolin), 1046 nucleotides long. Lineage: Eukaryota; Metazoa; Chordata; Mammalia; Pholidota; Manidae. The record is from RefSeq and is a predicted model, not a curated record.
AAAUCCCAACACACAUAUGCAAGUAUGAAAAUAAUGGAUCUUUUUAAGUUGGAGAUACUUUUAAAAGGAAGAGGUUGAUAUGCAGUAAAAACUUUAUCAACUAUAGGGUGAAAUACUUGACUAGAGACAACUGACUGGCUGGAAUGCCUAACUCUUCUGAGAGAACUGAUCAUUAAAUAACUUCCAGAAACUUCAUUUCCAUCCCAAUUGCCAUUUUAUGUAAUUUUCUAACAUUGAAACAACAGCUCUUCUCCUUGUUAAAAAAAAUGUCAGUCCCACCUCACAAACAACAUCGCAGUUUUGACUAAUCUCUAUAAUCAGAAGCUAAUUUGCCAUAAGAAUAACAACGUAACAAUGUGCCCACUAUGAAAGAGCAUGCUUUUAUCAUUUUCUUUGCCGGUGAGGGAGUAUGUCAAGUCUGGAUGCGGAGGGGAGGAGAAGCUGUGGAAAUCUGCCCUGUGUGUUCUGUGGAAGCCGCGUGGAACUGCAGAGGAGGCCCUUCUGCUGAGGAGGAGAGCCGAAUUCCACCCCCUGUGACAAGGACUUAUUUUCUACAGAUUGGCUGAAACAUUGGAAAACAGCCUAGGCUGGAGGAAAAUUUGUACAAACCUGGACCAAAUGGCUGGGGAAGUCAGCAAUCCAUUCACAUCCCCAGAGACAAAAUUUGCUGGUGCCAGAGUGACCCCUCUAAAUCAGGCCAUCGCCUCCUAAAUGGACAAAGAUGGUCACUUGGUUAUUUGUGGUGAUGCAUGAGGGAAAAUGCAGCCACAGAUUUCUCACAAAUCGCAGAGAACAAGCUGGAUCCUGAAGUCUUCUUUUCCAUGUGCUUGGAGGCAUUCAGGGACAUGGCAGAAAAAUUAGAGAGCUGAGGAUUACUCAUCUUAUCUGUAAGAUAUCGCCUCUCGGCUGUUCUGCAAUUACGAGGAGUGUUCCUGGAGCUGGUGUUGGUUGGGAGAAGGCUGGAUUGCAAAGCAAGAUAAUCAGGCACAAUUGAAUUAACUAAAGAAUAAGUGUCAGCCUUAAUUGCGAUCCUCUUCAUUUCAUUA